UGGGGAAUUUUGCGCAAUGGACGAAAGUCUGACGCAGCAACGCCGCGUGGGUGAUGAAGGUCUUCGGAUUGUAAAACCCUGUCGUCAGGGACGAAGGGUUGCGACCUAAUACGUCGUGACUUUGACGGUACCUGGAGAGGAAGCCCCGGCUAACUCUGUGCCAGCAGCCGCGGUAAUACAGAGGGGGCAAGCGUUAUUCGGAAUUAUUGGGCGUAAAGGGCGCGUAGGCGGCGUCGUAAGUAGGAUGUGUAAUCCCCGAGCUUAACUUGGGAACUGCAUCCUAGACUGCGAUGCUAGAGUGCUGGAGAGGGUGGUAGAAUUCCACGUGUAGCGGUGAAAUGCGUAGAGAUGUGGAGGAAUACCAGUGGCGAAGGCGGCCACCUGGACAGUAACUGACGCUGAGGCGCGAAAGUGUGGGUAGCAAACAGG
RNAcentral lists this ribosomal RNA (429 nucleotides) under uncultured bacterium. RNAcentral describes it as "bacterial SSU rRNA". It matches the Rfam family "Bacterial small subunit ribosomal RNA", at positions 355 to 776 of the family's 1533-position model. The record is from RNAcentral.